Molecule: ribosomal RNA, 428 nt
Filed under: uncultured Gaiella sp.
Lineage: Bacteria; Bacillati; Actinomycetota; Thermoleophilia; Gaiellales; Gaiellaceae
Description: bacterial SSU rRNA
Rfam family: Bacterial small subunit ribosomal RNA
Source: RNAcentral
UAGGGAAUCUUGCGCAAUGGGCGAAAGCCUGACGCAGCGACGCCGCGUGCGGGAAGAAGGCCUUCGGGUUGUAAACCGCUUUCAGGAGGGACGAAGCCACUCGGGUUAAUAGCCCAGAGGGUGACGGUACCUCCAGAAGAAGCCCCGGCUAACUACGUGCCAGCAGCCGCGGUAAUACGUAGGGGGCAAGCGUUGUCCGGAUUUAUUGGGCGUAAAGCGCGUGUAGGCGGCCAGGUAGGUCAGCUGUGAAAACUCGAGGCUUAACCUCGAGAUGUCGGCUGAAACCAUCUGGCUAGAGUCCGGAAGAGGAGAAUGGAAUUCCCGGUGUAGCGGUGAAAUGCGCAGAUAUCGGGAAGAACACCCGUGGCGAAGGCGGUUCUCUGGGACGGUACUGACGCUGAGACGCGAAAGCGUGGGGAGCGAACAGG